CCUACGGGGGGCAGCAGUGGGGAAUAUUGGACAAUGGGGGGAACCCUGAUCCAGCGACGCCGCGUGAGUGAAGAAGUAUUUCGGUAUGUAAAGCUCUAUCGGCAGGGAAGAAAGAAAUGACGGUACCUGACUAAGAAGCCCCGGCUAACUACGUGCCAGCAGCCGCGGUAAUACGGAGGGGGCAAGCGUUAUCCGGAUUUACUGGGUGUAAAGGGAGCGUAGACGGCGAUGCAAGUCUGAAGUGAAAGGCGGGGGCCCAACCCCCGGACUGCUUUGGAAACUGUAUGGCUGGAGUGCAGGAGAGGUAAGUGGAAUGCCUGGUGUAGCGGUGAAAUGCGUAGAUAUUAGACAGAACACCAGUGGCGAAGGCAGCUUACUGGACUGUAACUGACGUUGAGGCUCGAAAGCGUGGGGAGCAAACAGGAUUAGAUACCCGUGUAGUC
RNAcentral lists this ribosomal RNA (443 nucleotides) under uncultured bacterium. RNAcentral's name for it is "partial 16S ribosomal RNA". It matches the Rfam family "Bacterial small subunit ribosomal RNA", at positions 338 to 795 of the family's 1533-position model. The record is from RNAcentral.